This 1028-nucleotide long non-coding RNA is filed under the name Pogona vitticeps (central bearded dragon). Its description in RNAcentral is "lncRNA (ENSPVIG00000006877.1)". Lineage: Eukaryota; Metazoa; Chordata; Lepidosauria; Squamata; Agamidae. The record is from RNAcentral.
AUGGGCAAUAGAAACUUCCCAGUGGCUGAGGAAAAUCAGUCGUCUUCUGUGGGAUUCAAUGGCUUUGAAGGCUGCUUGGAAAGAAAACUCUUGAUUUUAGGAACAGAAGGGUUUAUGUAUGGAGUAAAGAUUCAAGUCCUCUUCAAGAAUGUUGGAUUUGUCUCAUGGACCUGCAAUAGUUACUCUUUGUUUUCUGUGUUAAUCAGUAAUGGCAAAAAUGCAACAUGGCGUUACUUUGCAACAAUGAAUCUGAAUUGGAAAGAGUGUUGGUUGUGGAAGGUGGGCGUUUCUAUUAGAGGUGGUGAGCGGUCCCAAGAGCAGUUAGGUAGGGAAUAUUAAGUGAUGUCUAGUAUUGUUAACAUCUUUACCCAAACAUUUGUAGAUAGGUGGAAACAGUGUGUUAUACUUCUGUAAAAGCUUUUGCAACUGCAGACAUUGCUUUGGAAACUUCCCAGGGCAAGAAAAUGAUUUUACAUAAGCAAUUCUGUAGUUGUUGACGAUCUUUUGCAUUAUUUGUUGUUCUCUUCACUGUACUUGGAUGUCAAGCAGGAGGGGGAAUCUCCAGGUUGUCAUAAGAUUUCAUAUCAGCCACAGUCUGAAAAGCGCAUUUGGUAAGGGUGAUAAUUUAAAAAGCAUCUACUACACUCAGGCUGAAAUUCUGCUGCUUAGCCUAGUAAGCUGCAUCUAGGAAAGGCCCAUUGAAUCAACUGAAAUUUGUUGAUACAAUUACUCUAUAACUGCCACUGAUUCAAUGGGCCUACUCAUUGACUUACUGUGCUAAGCAACAGGAUUUCAACCAUGCUGUUGAAGGAGAGAAGUAUAUCUGGCAGCGAAAAACAGAUUUUGUUAAAGCUAACAUGGCCUAGUGCCAGAAUGAAACAUAGGGAGUUACCUGUUUGCAAUAUGGUUUUCACCCCCCCUCUUUUAAAAAACAACGACCCAGCAUCACAUUAUUUCUUGCAUUGCAUUGUUGUUAUGGCUACAGCAAAGAUAAUAAACUUGUAUUAAACUUGGCGUAGGAUUUAUAA